Molecule: ribosomal RNA, 458 nt
Filed under: uncultured bacterium
Lineage: Bacteria
Description: partial 16S ribosomal RNA
Rfam family: Bacterial small subunit ribosomal RNA
Source: RNAcentral
CCUACGGGCGGCAGCAGUGAGGAAUAUUGGUCAAUGGGCGAGAGCCUGAACCAGCCAAGUCGCGUGAGGGAGUACUGCCCUAUGGGUUGUAAACCUCUUUUGUCGGGGAGCAAAAGCCGGACGUGUCCGGCUGUGAGAGUACCCGAAGAAAAAGCAUCGGCUAACUCCGUGCCAGCAGCCGCGGUAAUACGGAGGAUGCGAGCGUUAUCCGGAUUUAUUGGGUUUAAAGGGUGCGCAGGCGGAUUUUUAAGUCAGCGGUAAAAUCGUGGGGCUCAACCCCAUCCAGCCGUUGAAACUGGGGAUCUAGAGUGUGCGAGAGGUAUGCGGAAUGCGUGGUGUAGCGGUGAAAUGCAUAGAUAUCACGCAGAACUCCGAUUGCGAAGGCAGCAUACCGGCGCCCGACUGACGCUGAAGCACGAAAGCGUGGGUAUCGAACAGGAUUAGAUACCCUAGUAGUC